AUGAAAGUGGCGCACGGGUGCGUAACGCGUAUGCAACCUACCUUAAUCAGGGGGAUAGCCCGAAGAAAUUCGGAUUAACACCGCAUAAACAACACAGGAUAGCAUUAUCCAAUGUUCAAAUAUUUAUAGGAUUAAGAUGGGCAUGCGUGUCAUUAGCUAGUUGGCGGGGUAAUGGCCCACCAAGGCGACGAUGACUAGGGGAUCUGAGAGGAUGACCCCCCACACUGGUACUGAGACACGGACCAGACUCCUACGGGAGGCAGCAGUAAGGAAUAUUGGUCAAUGGAGGCAACUCUGAACCAGCCAUGCCGCGUGCAGGAAGACUGCNCUAUGGGUUGUAAACUGCUUUUAUCUGGGAAUAAACCUAUUUACGUGUAAGUAGCUGAAUGUACC
Molecule: ribosomal RNA, 393 nt
Filed under: Pedobacter sp. Benji
Lineage: Bacteria; Pseudomonadati; Bacteroidota; Sphingobacteriia; Sphingobacteriales; Sphingobacteriaceae
Description: bacterial SSU rRNA
Rfam family: Bacterial small subunit ribosomal RNA
Source: RNAcentral